GUGGGGAAUAUUGGACAAUGGGCGAAAGCCUGAUCCAGCCAUGCCGCGUGAGUGAUGAAGGCCUUAGGGUUGUAAAGCUCUUUCAGUAGGGAAGAUAAUGACGGUACCUACAGAAGAAGCCCCGGCUAACUUCGUGCCAGCAGCCGCGGUAAUACGAAGGGGGCUAGCGUUGUUCGGAUUUACUGGGCGUAAAGCGCACGUAGGCGGAUUGGUCAGUUAGAGGUGAAAUCCUGGAGCUCAACUCCAGAACUGGCUUUAAUACUGCCAGUCUAGAGUCCAGAAGAGGUGAGUGGAACUCCUAGUGUAGAGGUGGAAUUCGUAGAUAUUAGGAAGAACACCAGUGGCGAAGGCGGCUCACUGGUCUGGUACUGACGCUGGGGUGCGAAAGCGUGGGGAGCAAACAGGAUUAGAAACCCCGGUAGUCC
Molecule: ribosomal RNA, 425 nt
Filed under: uncultured bacterium
Lineage: Bacteria
Description: partial 16S ribosomal RNA
Rfam family: Bacterial small subunit ribosomal RNA
Source: RNAcentral